UGGGAUGAAGCUCAAUGGUACAGCACUUGCCUAGCAUGCAUGGGGCCCUGGGUCUGAUCCCCAGCACCCAC
RNAcentral lists this transfer RNA (71 nucleotides) under Fukomys damarensis (Damara mole-rat). It matches the Rfam family "tRNA". From Rfam's summary of the family: Transfer RNA (tRNA) molecules are approximately 80 nucleotides in length. The record is from Rfam by way of RNAcentral. Lineage: Eukaryota; Metazoa; Chordata; Mammalia; Rodentia; Bathyergidae.